UGUUGGGUUAAGUCCCGCAACGAGCGCAACCCUCGACCUUAGUUGCCCAGCAUUCAGUUGGGCACUCUAAGGUGACUGCCGGCUAAAAGUCGGAGGAAGGUGGGAUGACGUCAAAUCAUCAUGCCCCUUAUGACCUGGGCUACACACGUGCUACAAUGGGCGGUACAAAGGGUCGCGAACCCGCAGGGGGAGCCAAUCCCAAAAAGCCGCUCUCAGUUCGGAUUGCAGGCUGCAACUCGCCUGCAUGAAGCCGGAAUCGCUAGUAAUCGCGGAUCAGCAUGCCGCGGUGAAUACGUUCCCGGGCCUU
Molecule: ribosomal RNA, 307 nt
Filed under: uncultured Anoxybacillus sp.
Lineage: Bacteria; Bacillati; Bacillota; Bacilli; Caryophanales; Anoxybacillaceae
Description: bacterial SSU rRNA
Rfam family: Bacterial small subunit ribosomal RNA
Source: RNAcentral